This 441-nucleotide ribosomal RNA is filed under the name Triticum aestivum (bread wheat). Its description in RNAcentral is "partial small subunit ribosomal RNA". The record is from RNAcentral. Lineage: Eukaryota; Viridiplantae; Streptophyta; Magnoliopsida; Poales; Poaceae.
CCUCGCCCGACGGGCUGGAUCCCUCCACCAGCAGGGCUGACAAAGAUGAAUGUAGAUGCUGCAGUAGGGAAGGGAAGUAGACAUGGUUCUGUUGCGGCAAUAUCAAGAGAUUCUGCUGGCCAUUUUCUGGGAGCGUCGGCUGUGGUCUUUGGUGGCAUAUCGGAUCCCGCGACCCUCGAAUGCAUGGCGAUCAGGGAGGCGCUGGCCCUUGCUGAUGAUCUGAAUGUGUCAGAUAUACAAGUGGCGUUCGACUCGAAGGUGGUGGUUGAGGACAUCCGAGAGAACAACCCAUCUGCAUAUGGUGCGAUCAUACAAGAAAUAAUAGAGCAUAGAUCAAACUUCCACUUAUGUAAUAUUUGCCAUGAAUUUAGGAGCUUGAAUAUCGAGGCUCACAAUCUCGCGAAGCAUGCUUUAUCCCUUCCGGCUGGCCGACAUGUUUGA